This 63-nucleotide microRNA precursor is filed under the name Myotis brandtii (Brandt's bat). RNAcentral describes it as "mir-9242 microRNA precursor family". It matches the Rfam family "mir-9242 microRNA precursor family". Lineage: Eukaryota; Metazoa; Chordata; Mammalia; Chiroptera; Vespertilionidae. The record is from Rfam by way of RNAcentral.
GGCCUCCCUCUGUGGGGCGAUGGAUCAUGGGGCCCCCAGAUCGAUGCCCCACAGAGGGAGGCC